UGAAUUUUGCUGCAGGCACCUGUAUGUGUGUGUCGCCCAGUUUUCGUUCACUAAUUACGCCUCAACUUUGUCUUGAAUGUAGUUCUCUUUUGUUCUGGAUGUAGACCUCAUUUUCAGUCUGAUUGAAUUUUCCACAUAUAGUGUGUUACCCUGUAAGAUUUUUUAGAAGCCCAAGGAAUGUUUGUAGAUGGUCAGAGGAUAGGUAACUGAAUGCAUGCGUUUUUUUUCUUCUGCAGGAGUACUAAUGUGGAGAAAUUGUAGGGUGCCACUUUUUGUUGUCAGCUUGAUUUUGAUGGCUUUUAGUUAGUAAUGGAUGUGAUUUGUUUUUCAGAGAGUUGAGUGAUUACGUAGAGAAUGGCUUAGGGAUCAUCUGAAUGUUGUGUUAUGCACCAACUAACCAGGCAGUAGAUUGUUCUGAAACUAGUGUACGCAAUGGAAUUUGUUCCAGUUACCCUCUUUUAAUCUGCAUAAGUGGGAAGUGGAAAGUUUAGAUAUCUGUGCUCAUACAUGUGCUUUUGGAUCUAUGUUUUCUUCCUUAUACACAUGUCAUUUUUGAAUUUUUUUCUCGUAAUUCAGUAUGUAAGUCUGUUUGGUUAUCUGAACCUGAACGAACAACUUGCUCGUCUUUUUGUCCUGUGCAUCGAUGAGUUUGCAGGAACAGCAGACUUUGUCCUUGAAAUGCAAAAUAUUUUUUCCCCUGAUGAUUGUUAGCUUAAAAUAUCCCUUGGCAGCGUCAAAUUUCAUAUUCAGUAGUCUGUAUUUUUUCUUUUUUUGCCACCUCUGAAACUGAAUGAAUAGAUGUUAAGACGCUCCUUCAGUUAUGAGUUACUCCAUAAUAGCACCAGUAUGUUUGAUGUCCAGUGUCCGGAUCCUUUUUUGAAAAGGCUUUCGGAAUGACCACAUGUUUUUUUAUCUUGUCCGAUGACUAGAGAGUUAUCUUAGCUCACAUUAUGUCUUCAUUCUUGGGGUGUAUUCACGUGCAUUCUUUCAAAUGUCGUAUGUUUGAUCAUGUUGUCACUGUCUAUGUUGUUUCAAUUAUGCUUUUUCGUGCCAUGACCCUGAUCUAGCCCACAGUCAUCUUGUAGGAGUAGUUAGUUAUGUUUUUACUUUUUUUUGCUGCGAGCACAACAUUUUUUGGUCAAUCUUUCAGCCAGGUGUGGAGCUCCGCUCCCACCAGAUAGCUUUUACGUUCUGUUCAAUUUUAUUUCUUAGUGUGUAUUUUCCUCCAUGUUUUUCAUUUUGUAUAGCUUGCAACAGUUUAUUUUGCUUUCUAGCCUGCUCCUUAUCUUGGUGUAUGUUUACUUUUUCUAUAGUUUUCAAAACACUAGUGUUAUGGGGGGAGGGGGGGGGGUGUUCUGGACGUCUGAUGUUCUUUCAAGGCUAUUUUUCUUAGCUUUCUUUUUUGCCAUACAUGCAGGUGUGCAGAUUAUGCAGGUCAUAUACCUUACAGCGUUGGCUAUGACCACAGCUACGAUCCUGAUAAUGAAAUGUCAAACAGCGACUGUCUGGAGGAGAGUAGCACAUGCAGUGAUGAUGUAUGUCCAUGUAGAUUUUAAUUGGUUUUUUCAUACCUUUUUUUGUUUUUUUUGUUCCUGUCUUUUUACAUGUGUAACAACUCCUUCUUUUCUCUUUUCUGUUUUGUUUGCUCUAAAGGAAUCUGUGUCCAGGAGGAAGAAGGUGUUAGAGUAUUCAGCUUUUUCAAGAAGGAGGUACGUUUUAUCUUCUUGUUUUUAGUUUUUUUAGUAUUUUUUUAUGUUGAUGGUUUCUGUUUGUUGGUUUCCAUCUUACCCAACAGGCUCUCAAAUCUCUCAAGAGGGAAUUCUCAAUUUUUUGUCAGAACGCUAAUAUCAAAGUCGAGGUUGCUGAAUCUCUUGUACAAACUCUAUGUUUUUGCAUCACUGAAUUCACUUUUUUUGUUAGUCUUAGUCCGCUUUUUUCAAUGUGGUUUUUCAGAAUAAAAGGCUAAAAGCAACAGGGCUAGGAAGGGAUGCGUAUAGUGUGUAUGCCACCAAGUACUUCGCUGAGAUACUCAAGCGUAUGGCUAUUGGCCGGAAGGAUGUGAUCUCAAAAUACGGGUUCGAGCAUCUCCUGAAGUUUGAGAAAACUGAAUUCCCUUCUCACUUCACCAGAUGGAUUGUUGGUUGCGUAGACACAAUAUCUUCCCAAAUCAUUAUUGACGAUCAGAAGAUUAUCUCUCUUUCUAAGGAGUCUGUCCAUCUUGUGUUGGGUCUGCCGAACAGUGGCGUUGUAGCGAUGCCCAAUAAGGAGAGAGGGAGGAGUUUCAUUAUGUCUAGGUUCAAUCUUUCAGAAAUUCCAAAUGUCACUUUCUUUGGAAAUAUGCUCACAUCAGAAGAAGAUCUUAGCGAUGAGAACACCUUCAUAUGUUUCAUGGUGAUUGUUAUGUCAUGCUUUCUGUAGGAGAUAUGCCCUAGAGGCAAUAAUAAAUGUUAUUGAUUAUCUCCCUGAUCAUAAUUAUGUUUAUGUUCCAUGCUAUAACUGCUGUGGUUCCCGAGCCCGUAUAUCCAUAAAGGCUCUGGGGAGAACCCAUAUGCACGUGUGGAAUAAUAAACGGUAAAAUGUAUUCCUAGUCGUGCCUCUAAGACUAGCUCAAGUAUUGCAUGAUGAUUAUGUUUUCCCAAUCAUGGGCAUGUCUAUGCCAAGCAACUUUGAGGGCACAAUGUCAGUAAGGACAUUUGUGUUGAAUCGAUCCGAAUUGAUGUUAUGCUAAGAGAUACAUUCGUCACAAGUUAAUGGUUUAUAACACAGAGAUAGUUAAUGUUUGCAUAAUUCCUUAGACCAUGAGAGUAUCGAGUUUCUUCAUGCUUGCUUCAUGAACUUUGGGGUUUGUUAAACGUCAUCCGUAGCUGGAUGGCUAUUACGGCGGCUUACGGGUUCAUGGGAAAGUAUGUUAAGUAACUUGAUAGCUCGAGAUUGGGAUUUGCUCCUCCGACGAUGGAGAGAUAUACUCGGGCCCUCUCGGUGUUACGGUGUCCAUCGUCGUCUGGCCAGACACUUUGUGAUUUGAUCACGGGGAUGCCGGAACACGAAACGAGAAAAGAGAACAAAACCGGUAACGAGCUAACUAGCAUAGUGGACAAGUUGUUGAUCCACGGGAAUGCCAACAUGUCUCACCUCGGGUAUUUGUAACAUAUCGCGAAGCAACAGGAAUAGCACAUGGCAACUGGAGGUUCACUCGAAUAUUUAUUCGUGUGGGUAUAGGGGUCCAUAUAGGUGUCCACGGCUCCGAUGUUGAUCAUUGAUCGGAAGGGGUUCCGAGUCAUGUCUAUACUUCACCGAACCUAUAGGGUCACAUGCUUAAGGGUCAUCUAUCUGCUGAAUACUAGACAGGGAGUCUGAGAGAAAAUCACCGAAAAAGUUUUGGACACCGAAAAGUUUCGGACAGCGGAAUCGUACCGCAGAGAGAGGUCAUCGGAUAAGUUUCGAUGAUACCGAAAAGUUGUUUCGGGAUACACUAUUAAGUCAAAUUGGUUUCGGCACAUGCCUGAUAAUUCUUGGAGGAUGCCAGAAUCAUUCUGGAAGCUUUUUGGAAUUUUCUGAGAUAAAAACCGGAAAUGUUCCAGAGCUGCCGGAGCCACUUCAGAUGCGUUUCGCAGAUGAAAAUCACUAAAACCGGAAUUGUUUCAGAACACGUUGAAAAUCAUUCUAGUGGGUACUGGAAAUGUUCUUAGCCCACAUAAAUAUUUUCAGUUCGAUCAGACGCUGAAAAAUGUCGUCGUGAAUAGUGAAAAUCAGCUUUAUGGUUACUUUAUGGAAAGCCACCUUUUGGGGCUUUGCUCCAAAAGAUCUUGGGGAUGACAUGGAUGGAUAGGAGCCAUUUUUUGGGCCCCUCAUGGGGGUGUGGCCGGCCACAUGGGGUAUCCCCCCUUGGGGACCCUCUUGUUGAUUGGUUUCACUCCUAGGUCCUUGUGGAAGGACUUCAUUCAUGUGCAUUUUGGGUUUUUUGUGAAACUACCCUACCCCCUUGGGAUUUCCUAUAAAUAGAGGUGGAGGGGCAGCCCUCCACACUCAUCCCUUGCUCUCAUACACAUGCCAUGCAUUAUCUGGCUUCUUCUCUCCCUCCCACGAAAAGAGUUUCGUAGAGCCGUAAGGCUGUCUGGGUUCCGGCGGGAACUAGUUCUGGACGGCGAAGCCCUGCCGGAUAGAUGACACCGUAUGUGUGCAACUCUGUAGAGAGAUCGUAGUUUCGGUCUUAGUUCGUGAGUGCCUCCCGAAGGGCUGUCCGUGUGACCGUCCGAGUUUCGAAGGUCCUCCCGAAGGGCUGUCCGAGUGACCGUUCGAGUUUCGAAGGUCCUCCCGAAGGGCUGUCCGCGACACCGUCCGGGGGGGCUGUUCGACCACCUCCCGGAGGGCUGUCUGAUGAGCAGAUGAGGGUUUACAUCCUCGCGGUUGGGAGGUUGUAAAUCCUAGAUGCGGGGAUCUGCACCGCCGAUCGUCAUCGACUCUACUUCCCGCUGCGCUACGAGUCGGUAACGAAAAAGAUCAAACCAUGUAUGCAGUCUCCAUAGUGGUCCUGGGCUGGUGCGUAGGUCGGAAAUUUUUUGUUUUCUGCUGCGUUACCCUACAGUGGCAUCAAGAGCCGUGCUAUGCGUAGAUGCAGGUUUCGAUCUAGAAUACAUGGAGAUCUAUGGGUAUUGCAUAAUAUAUUUAGGUAGUAGAUGAGAUCUAUUGCUGAAAAUUAUUUAUGCGGGUGAUAGAUGAAAUCUGUUACCCGGCGUUCUUUUUGCUUCCCUAGAAUUUGCGUUUGCUCAAUCUCGAGACAGCAUGGUGGAAUUUGACAAAGUUCUGGCAAUCCGUGAUCCUGAUUGAUCAUGGAAGUGCUAUCAGUUCUUUGGGUUCUGCCGUAGUCAAAAGAAAGAUGAAAUUCGCAAAUGAAAGGGCAUUGCAGAUAUGAUCUGCGCGGGGUCAUGCGUAUGAUGAAGUUUAUUAUGGGGCUCGAGAUUUAAUUAUCUCGUGUUUCAUACACCCCAAGAUGUUAAUCUAGCAACUUGAAUAAUCAUACUUGAUGAUAAAACGUUGGUAGCUUCGGUUUAAGUCAAAACCUUAGAAGCCACAUAAAAUAAAUUUUGCAUAAACCGAUUAGAGGCGUCUAACUUGGUUUUGCAGGAUGUGCAUGUGAUGUGGUAUAGCAGUGCUCAUACUAAUUCGAUUAUGUAUGAGAUGACUAUAUGAUGUAAUUUGAUUAACAUGACCUGCGUGUCAUGAUUCGGCAUGAUGGCUGGAGCCAUAUGAUUGCACUUUAAUGACCUACGUGUCAACCUUAAGUAAUGCAUUAAUUUUAUACGCUAUGGAGAUAGCAAUAUUAUCUGGUGCAUCGACAAGGUGGUGGCAAUCUUCGCGAAGGUGAACACCGACGCGUAUGCUGAAGACGAAGAAAUGAAAUACUUCUCCGUCAGAAAGGGCUAUACCAUAUCAUGCUAUUAUGAAUUGCCUGAGAUGUUUAUCCCUUAUUGUGCACCCUUCUUGAUUGCGUGGUAGUCCCUUUUUAUGUGAUCUCUCACAAAAAUACCAAGUAGUUAGCGUUCUCCCAAGUGUAGCACCGUCACGGCACCUAUCUUUUCGGGGUGCGCCGUGUCACACGGGUACGAACGAUUAGAGAAGUGUGAGGCGGGUGAGUUGAGACCUCGCAGCGAGAUCACUUGGUUGUCUUGACGUUCAGGCAUGACCGUCAUGAGCUCGGAACACACGCAUCGAAAGAUGAACAAGAGUAACAUAGAGAUGUGAUUGGCAAGUUGGCCUACCGGUUGAGAUUUUUCGUCAUCAGUGGUGUUACACCAAUGGCGAACAAUUGAAAUGUGGGUCUUGUAUCACUCACAAUCAAUUUUGAGAGAUAUUGAUUUGAGUGGGAGCGCACUGUUGAAUUAACAUGUUUAAUUCUCAAUGCAAUUAAUUUUGAACACUGUCUAAGUGUGGUUUGCAUAAUAGUUGUAGAAUAAUGGCUCGCAUUUCCACCUUCUCUAUUAAAAUUGAAUAGCUGUUAAAUAUCUGGUUAAAACUUUACGAUUGGUAACGUAAUAUGAGGAUUGUCCUCAAAAGUGUCGAGAAGGACUUUGUCCUAUCGCAUGCUUUCCGUAUCCUCCCGCUAAUGCUAUGGAUCAUGUGACUCUCGUCCUUCGAUCCAAAAGCUAGAAUUCUGUUACGGUCAAGUGGAAUAUAUUUGCUUCCAUGAAACCCAAACUUCGAAAGUUGGGAUAGUUAUAUGAUAUUCAUGGAACUGAAAAUUAUUUUCAGAUACAAACAAAGCAAUGUUUGUUUGCAAGUAUUAGUAAAAGUGUUUACUAUGCAUUUGACUGUUGGGAAAGGGAUCCAGAAGAACGCCUGUCAUAUAAUGAAAGGUGAAUAAAACAACAACUUAAAGAGAAAGGAAGUGUCCAAAGGGUGUUAGUAUGACUUACACGCCUAGGAAGUCCGGGGCUAAUGCCACUCUUAAGUUGGGUGCUUCUUUUGAGAGGAGAAAUACUAAAAGUUAAACUGUUAGAAGUAUAAAGGCAAAAAUAAAGAAGACUGGAAUAUCCAGCUCAUGUAUGAAUGUCAUACAAGUUUUUGAUGUAUAGAAGGCUGGUCAAAGAUAUAGUUCUUGCGAAUUAUGGUUAAACAUGUUAAUCACUAAUUCUUGGGUAUUGUGAGUUAAUCACAAAAAUGCACGCUCGAUUGCAUUCUGUUGCAACUCGACGCAAGAACUACUAUGGCCUGAAAGACUAGCCAGGAAUGAGGUUGAGAUACACACAUGGAACAUAGUAAAUGUUACUAUACCUUCCAUCGGUGUAUUACCCAUGUAUUUACUUUCAUAAUUCAUUUUAGAGUUUCACACUCUAGCCCUUUGCAUAAGGUAUCUUGCAAGAAGGUUGUUCAUAAGAGAACUUUUCAUGUUCGGUGUUAUGAAUAACAUAAGGGCCAUACUUUCAUUAUGAAUGAGAUGUAUGUUAUGAAUAUUGAUUAAUACAUUACCUCUGGGUUUACCUUCAUAAUUCAUUUUAGAGUUUCAUACACUCUAGCCAUUGCACAAUGUUUGAUGCAAGAGGGUCGUUCAGAAAAGAACAAUUGUUAUUCAGAAUUAUGAAUAACAUAAGGGCCAUACUUCCAUCAUUGAUGGGAUGUAUGUUAUGAAUAUUGAUGGUAAUAUGGUACAUCCAUAAACACUGACGCUGAAUGUCGCAAGACUAAAAGAAUACCACACAAGUGUGGCACUGCAUUUGGUCACAUUAGAGAAACCCGCAUGGAAAAUUCUAUUAUGAUGGAUUUUGAAGUCGUUUGAAUUUGAAUCAUCUGACGCUUGCAACUUUCCUCCGAAAAGUGAAGAGACUGAAAUACCGUUCACAGGCCAUAAGGAGCGAGCAACAAAGCUUAUUGGUGAUCAUACAUUUGAUGUAUGUAGUUCAAUAAAUAUUGUUGCAAGUAGUGGAUUUAUCUAUCUUCAGAAAUGACUCAAGUAGAUAUGUUGAUAUUUACUUGAUGAGACGUAAGUCUGGAUCUUUUGAAAUCAUUCGAAAGGUUUUCAAAAAUGAAGUAGAAGUUAUUGUAACAAGAAAAUUCUGUUUCUACAAUUCGAUUGCAGAAAGGAAAGUUUGAGUUACAAGUUUAGCGAAUGUCUAAUGAGUUGUGAAAGGGGUUUCAUAAACUUGCACCUCCGGGAACACCACUUCAAGUGGAAAGUCCCUGAAGAUGUAAUCGAACCAUUUAUGACAUGGUAAGAUCAAAGAUGACAUAAAUAAAUUUGCCAUUAUCCCUUUUAAAGAGUGAUGCUUUAGAUACUACGGCUUUUACACUGAAAAGAGCUUCAUCAGGUCUGUUGAAAUGAAGCCAUGGUAUGGUACGCCCAACCAUGUUGUAUCUUUUCUUAACAUUUGGAAUAUGGGGCUUGUGUAAAAGGCUACAAACCUAUUCCAAAUCAGACAAGUGCUACUUUGUAGGUUAUCCCAAGUCAUUGGGUAUUCCUCCCUCACUAUACCGAGGCAAAUAGGUUUGCCACAAAGAACGGUAUGCUUUUAAAGAGAAUGGUUCUUUCUAAAAAGUGAGUGGGAGAAUAGUGCAACUCGACGAGAUAAACAGUAUCUUCAUCAGAUCAAAGGAAAGAGACCUUGAAAGAAAUUCCAGAGUUUCCUACUGCGACUGAUACGGAAGUCUCUACAAUAAAAUGUAUGGACUUCGGUCGAACUUGCAGCUGAACCACGUAGGCAAAGCUCAUGCAAACCUCUCAGGUGCGCAAACGAGAUAUUGUUGUUAGACAACAAUAUACCUACGAUACACAAGGAAGCGUUGAUGGGCCCUAACUCCGGAAUUGGCUAAAUGCCAAUACAACCCGAGUUAGUUUUCAUAUAAGUGAUUCAAGAUUAAAACCUCGAUACACCUUUCGGAAGACUUAGAGUCUAACGAAUAUUUAUGGAACUUAAAACUGAUACGGAUAAAAAUGUUUUAUCCAUAAAACUCAACUUGUUGAAAUAACAAGUUCAAGGAGUUGACUACAAUGAGGUGGUUUCACCGUAGCGAUGCUUCAAGUCGGUUCGGGUUGAACUAGCAAUUAAUACAUAUUUCAAUCAUGAGAUAUGAAACAUGGAUGAUAAAAGGAUUUCCAUCUGGUGGAAAUGAAAGCUAGGACUUGUAUAUGAUACAGUCCAAAGUAAUUUGUCGAUCCAGAGGAUGCUAGUAGGUAUGCAAACUUCAGAGUUCCAGCAAUGGACAGAAGUGAGCAAAAUGGAGUUGGAAUCUUCGUGUUUUGAUGAAAUGGUCAAAGGGGUUUUGACUUCAUCAAUGGGUAACGAAGAUGCUUAUAAUUCAAGAAAGUAAGUGGGAGCGUAAUAAUAUUUCUAAAAACCUUAUGUGCUUGGCACAUUGGUAAUUGGAAAUAAAUUUCUUGACACGAAUUAGGACUUCAUUUCAAAAUAGUUUUUCGAUGAAGUGCUUAGGCUAAAUAGCCUCAAUAUUAGGCAUGAUGAUCUAUGGAGAUAGAUUUACCUAAUGGGGCUAAGCAAUGAAUACAUAUUGACAAGAUGCUAAAACCUUUUAGCAUUUAAAACGCCAAGGAGUGAUUCUUGCCGAAGUCACAUGGAAAGAGUUUUUGCAAGACUCGGUGUCCCAAAACACUGAUGAGUAAAAUACACGAUGGAGAUUCCACACGCUCUUGUGUUUGGAUUAAUCAUGUAUUCCCAUGGUAUGUAAAACAGCCAGAUAUGUCCGAUACUUUCAAGGUGUUGCGAGUAUGGAUACCAAAGUGAUCAAAUUACUGAUCAUGGGACAACAGUGAAAGAUGUCACAGAGUACUAGAGUAAGUACUGAUGACAUGGUUUUCUCGCAAGCAGAGAUCAUGAAGAGUUUGUUGUAAAAUGUUACAUCGAUACGGUCUUCAUCUUUUCUCCAUGUGAUUUUCGAUUUAAAUUAAGGGUUUUGUAUAACACACAAUGUGGUGGCACAGUUAGUUGGAAUUUGUUCAAACUAGUUACUGUGGCGAAUUCUAUAACAAGGGCUAAGUAUGUUGACGCUUUAGAAGCGACAAAGAAGAUGUUGAAUCAUAUAGUUCAUUCAUGAACUUAGUAUGGUUCCAAGAUGGCUUUUGACAAUGGGACACUACUGCAGGUAGUUGCUCCAUAACUCAGUCUAAGGAAUCCAGGUUCGACCUGUGAUUCACAUACAUACAAAGCCAAGUCCACACAAAAUAUGAAUUUUGUCAAAACGUGAAAACGCGAGGACAUGCAAAGAUACACACGGAGCUGAAGUCGUCAGAUCCGUUGGACAUCAGGCUAUACCACAAGCGAAGCAUAUUUACACCAGUGUGCCACAGGUGUGAAGUGCAUUAGCAUAAGCUAGAUUAUUGUCUCUAGUGCAAGUGGGAGUCUGUAGGAGAUAUGCCCUAGAGGCAAUAAUAAAUGUUAUUGAUUAUCUCCCUGUUUAUAAUUAUGUUUAUGUUCCAUGCUAUAACUGCUGUGGUUCCCGAGCCCGUAUAUCCAUAAAGGCUCUGGGGAGAACCCAUAUGCACGUGUGGAAUAAUAAACGGUAAAAUGUAUUCCUAGUCGUGCCUCUAAGACUAGCUCAAGUAUUGCAUGAUGAUUAUGUUUUCCCAAUCAUGGGCAUGUCUAUGCCAAGCAACUUUGAGGGCACAAUGUCAGGAAGGACAUUUGUGUUGAAUCGAUCCGAAUUGAUGUUAUGCUAUGAGAUACAUUCGUCACAAGUUAAUGGUUUAUAACACAGAGAUAGUUAAUGUUUGCAUAAUUCCUUAGACCAUGAGAGUAUCGAGUUUCUUUAUGCUUGCUUCAUGAACUUUGGGGUUUGUUAAACAUCAUCCGUAACUGGAUGGCUAUUACGGCGGCUUACGGGUUCAUGGGAAAGUAUGUUAAGUAAUUUGAUAGCUCGAGAUUGGAAUUUGCUCCUCCGAUGAUGGAGAGAUAUAAUCGGGCCCUCUCGGUGUUACGGUGUCCAUCAUCGUCUGGCCAGACACUUUGUGAUUUGAUCACGGGGAUGCCGGAACACCAAACGGGAAAAGAGAACAAAACCGGUAACGAGCUAACUAGCAUAGUGGACAAGUUGUUGAUCCACGGGAAUGCCAACAUGUCUCACCUCGGGUAUUUGUAACAUAUCGCGAAGCAACAGGAAUAGCACACGGCAACAGGAGGUUCACUCGAAUAUUUAUUCGUGUGGGUAUAUGGGUCAAUAUGGGUGUCCACGGCUCCGAUGUUGAUCAUUGAUCGGAAGGGGUUCCGGGUCAUGUCUAUACUUCACCGAACCUAUAGGGUCACACACUUAAGGGUCAUCUAUCUGCUGAAUACUAGACAGGGAGUCUGAGAGAAAAUCACCGAAAAAGUUUCGGACACCGAAAUGUUUCGGACAGCGGAAUCGUACCGCAGAGAGAGGUCAUCGGAUAAGUUUCGAUGAUACCGAAAAGUUGUUUCGGGAUACACUAUUAAGUCAAAUUGGUUUCGGCACAUGCCUGAUAAUUCUUGGAGGAUGCCAGAAUCAUUCUGGAAGCUUUUUGGAAUUUUCUGAGAUAAAAACCAGAAAUGUUCCGGAGCUGCCGGAGCCACUUCAGAUGCGUUUCGCAGAUGAAAAUCACUAAAACCGGAAUUGUUUCGGAACACGUUGAAAAUCAUUUUAGUGGGUACUGGAAAUGUUCUUAGCCCACAUAAAUAUUUUCAAUUCGAUCAGACGCUGAAAAAUGUCGUCGUGAAUAGUGAAAAUCAGCUUUAUGGUUACUUUAUGGAAAGCCACCUUUUGGGGCUUUGCUCCAAAAGAUCUUGGGGAUGACAUGGAUGGAUAGGAGACAUUUUUUGGGCCACAUGGGGUAUCCCCCCUUGGGGACCCUCUUGUUGAUUGGUUUCACUCUUAGGUCCUUGUGGAAGGACUUCAUUCAUGUGCAUUUUGGGUUUUUUGUGAAACUACCCUACCCCCUUGGGAUUUCCUAUAAAUAGAGGUGGAGGGGCAGCCCUCCACACUCAUCCCUUGCUCUCAUACACAUGCCAUGCAUUAUCUGGCUUCUUCUCUCCCUCCCACGAAAAGAGUUUCGUAGAGCCGUAAGGCUGUCUGGGUUCCGGCAGGAACUAGUUCUGGACGGCGAAGCCCUGCCGGAUAGAUGACACCGUAUGUGUGCAACUCUGUAGAGAGAUCGUAGUUUCGGUCUUAGUUCGUGAGUGCCUCCCGAAGGGCUGUCCGUGUGACCGUCCGAGUUUUGAAGGUCCUCCCGAAGGGUUGUCCGAGUGACCGUUCGAGUUUCGAAGGUCCUCCCGAAGGGCUGUCCGCGACACCGUCCGGGGGGGGGGCUGUUCGACCGCCUCCCGGAGGGCUGUCUGAUGAGCAUAUGAGGGUUUACAUCCUCGCGGUUGGGAGGUUGUAAAUCCUAGCUGCGGGGAUCUGCACCGGCGAUCGUCAUCGACUCUACUUCCCGCUGCGCUACGAGUCGGUAACGAAAAAGAUCAAACCAUGUAUACAGUCUCCAUAGUGGUCCUGGGCUGAUGCGUAGGUCGGAAAAUUUGUGUUUUCUGCUGCGUUACCCUACACUUUCUGUUCCCUUCUUCAAAUGAUCAUACACACACGGACUUCCUAUUCCUUCUGGAGGAUCCUACUGUCACAAGGGGAUUCGACAUGUGUAUUCUUGUCUACCAAUGGAUUUUGGCCGGCAUCAACCAAUAUGUGUUGUUUGGUAGGGAAACCGGCAGGAAACCAAAAGCCUUUGAUUUCUGCAUAUAUUGCUUGGCUGUAAGUGUUCAGUAUCUCUUUUGUUCUUUUUGUUUUUUUGGUCACACAUACCCCGUCUAUUGUUUUGUUCCUUUUUUCUCUAAGUUUUUUUUUGUGUGUUUUUUGAAGGUGUUGUAUUUAGAUAAGCUUGACUUUGGUGUAAGGGUGGUCGAGCAAGGCGCCCCAAGGAUUCUUGCAUGGAAGGGUAAUUUGAUUAAACAUUUCUCGGAACUUGACCGGAAGAAGAGCAACUUGUUUGGAAGGAGACCGUUCAAAAAGGAGGUGUCUUAGAUGUUUUUGCAUUUUUGUGCUGAACAUUUUUUCUAUCAGUAGUUGAAAAGGGAGGUAGGAACAUGCAUCCUUUUUUCUUUUCUGUAAAUAGUCUUUAUUUUUGACUAUUUUUCCUUUUUUCUGCAUCAAUCAUUUUUUUACGACGCAGCAUCUGUUUGCAACUGAAAUUGGUGCUCAUCACGGCAUUAUACAACAAGGAUCAAUGUCAGUAUCUUUCAAAGAGGAAAUGUUGUCAUCUUAUGCUAACGUUCUACAUGGGCAGGUUUUAGUUUUGCCUUUACUAUGUUUUGUUAUCUUUUCCUUAAGUUUUUUUCUCAGGUUUUUUUGUCAUUUUUUCAGUGUAGUUCUUUUUGUGUUAUUAUAUUAUUGUUCUUGUCAGAUUAUUCAGGGCAUCAUUGGCAGCGCACACUGCGACAACAUAAAGGAGUCUGGUUUUCAAAAUGUUCAGGAAGCAAUAGCAUCAAAUGUGUUGAAGUUUCUAUCUAGACCCGGAGUAUCAUCUCUUUUCAUCGCUGGUGGUCAGGGCACCCUUUCAAAACUAGGAUCAUUAGCGAAACAGAAGAUGGGCAUAUCAAGUGAGGAUGAUAGAACUCACAAAAAAGGUUUCCGCGGUAUGCAUUUUUUAGUGUGUUCAGGCUCUUUUUUACUUGAGAAGCUCAUCGGAUACUUGCUCUGUUUUUUUAAUUGAAAGUUAUUUUGAUCACUGUCAAGUUAUUUUUAGUUUUUGUGGUCUUCAUAGAAACGUUUUUUAUUUUACUUAUGUGAGUAUAUGUGUCUUUUGUUUUGGAAAGCAGAGUAUGGUGAAAGCAGUGAUGUGAAUGAGAAGCUCAAGCACGUUAAGAGCAACAUCAACCGAACAACUGUCAAGAUCAACGAAAACAUGGUUUCAUCAAUUGCAGCUAGCAAGCAUUCCGACACAGGAACGAGCAACAACAAACUUCCGUUGCAACCUGUUGUUGAGAACAGUUUGUCGUUAGUUCAUAACGACUCGCAUGACGCUUUAGGUUCAUUCGUGCACUUUUUCUCCAUGUUCCUCUUUUAUUUCCCCCUUUUUUCUGUGUUCUUUUCGUUGCUUUAGUGGCUUUUUACAUCUUUUUUUUGUGUUUUUUCUGCAGCAACCCCAGAAUGUGCGAUUACUAAAAUUGUUGAACACAGCAAUGAAAAAGGUAAAUCUAUUUUCUUCUUUUUCUUUGGUACUUAAGUUUAGUUUUUUCUAUGAAUUGUGCAGUCAAGUCUUAAUUUUCUCUUCUGUUCUUUUUUCCCCAUCCAAGUGCCCGAAGUGGAAGUAGUGAAGAAGGUCAGGGCUAGGGUGUUCAACACAAUGCAUCGUGAGCAGGAGUUUUCUUUGAUUAACACAUUCCCAGCAGGGGUGAAGGAGCGCAACUCUUUUCUGCAGUUUAGUGUGCAACACAGCUAGGGCACUUUCACACGCUCCAUCAGUCUUACCGGCACAAAAAAAGAUGUUGGAGGUCAGAUUGCACCUCCUGAGGCAGGGCAGAGCAAUUACCAGAUGAUUAACCACAUGUCACCAAUAGGCCGUACAAAGCUGUUCAGCGAGGUCAGUUUUUUAUGCAUCUUUUUUGUUUGUCACAUUUCUUUCUUUUUUGUCACUAUGUUUUUUCAUCUAACACCCCAUGCACUAUAGGACUGCAACAUUGGCACCAGCAACAACCCUCCUAAGCUCAUGGCAUUGGCAGACAAGUUUUCAAAAACCAGCCAAAUCAUUGGCACAAAACAAGCACCAAUCCCACUGGCCGAUCUUUCCCCCUCUAUGGUUAGUGUUUAGUUUCUUUACUCUCUUUUUAUUUUUAUUUUGUUAUGAGGCUAUGAGGGAUAUAGGGACCUGAGUGCGUCUUGUUAUACCUCUCGUAUUUAGUCAUUUUUUAGUCUUGUCUUCUUAGUACUUUUAUUCAGCAUUUUUCUGUGUUCUACACGCUCACCAUAGUUCGGCAGCUCAACCAAUCAGCAAGCAACAUUUUUUGUCAGCAUAUUUUCAUAGCUGGACAGUCCUGAAAUUAAUCUAUAUUUUUUUGCAUAUGUGUAGCCGUUUUGGCUCAGUUUUACAUGAUUUUUUGCAUGUUAGCUUUCACUGAAGCUUUUUUAUUUUUGUUUUUGGCAGUCAACUAAGAGGAAGGCAGACAUCGUUGAUAUCAGUCCAACAAGUUUUUGUGUCCGGCAGAUUGAAUUAGCUAAGAAUGCAGAUCUUGUAUAGUUGUAUACAACAAUCUAAUCGGACCAAUUGCGAAACGUCAACGCCAAUCUACAGUAGGGGUAGAAGAGGUUGUUGAUGUGCCAGACGACACUGAUAAUCAUAUCAUUAUCGAUGAACUUGCACCGGACACCGUUCUCAAUCAAGGUGGACAUGAUGAUUUGAUCAUUUUGCGACCAAAAAGUCUCUUGGAACUCCCAAUCGAGGAAAAUGAAAAGUUCCCUGUGUCAAAUUAAGAGUGCAUGCAUUACAACUCAAUAAUCGAACUUGCCUAUACAAAAAGAAUUCAGAGGUAUGUUCAUCAGUUUUUUAGCCUUUUUUAUUAAAUAUUUUUACAUAUUGGUCUUGUUUUCAAUUUUUUUAUGUGUGUACUAUAUCAUAAUUUUGUAGUAUAUCAUUUUGAAGUUGUCAAACAUCUCACUAGUUUUUUAACACUUUGAUUGAUCGAUCAAAACUCUCUGCCUCCAACAGCAGGCAAGCCAUUGUACGCUGUACGGAUUUACAAGGCUGUGGCAGUUAACCAUCUUUUUUUGUUGCUGGAUUCUUGGAGUGUGUGUGUGUUGCUGGUGGCUCAUGCUCAACAUAUUGUUGUCAGAUCGAUUGCCCCGUAUAAGGGCAGUGCUCAUUGUCAUUGGCGUUUUCUUUGUAUCAUAGUUCUUUGACUGAGAAAAAAAAUCAUGUGUAUUUGUGUUCUUUCAGCCUGUGAAAAAGUUCCCAGUGUUCUUUUGGCUCUCUCGUUGUUGAUUUUGGUAUAGUGUCACCUCAAAACAAGCUCAAGUCAGUGCUUCAUGCUGAAAUAUGUUAGUACAAGUUUAGGGCUUUUAUACUCUAGAUAGACCAGCUAAGGUCUGAUACUUUGAGUUACUGACAAUAUAAACAUUAGUGAAUAAGUAGGCAAGUAAGGUUUUUAAUUUCACUAUCCUGUGAUAUGUUUCCUAGUUCUACUUGAAUAGCUCAUGGUAAGCAAGAUGUUUUUAAUUGUCGAUCAAAUGUUGUUUCAUCAGAAGAUGGCAAUCGCCAAGACCAAGAACACCGACUCGAUUAUUCCUGUUCGCCCAUAGAAAAGUGUGGCCCUGCCUGAUCAGUUUUUUUUUUGUUCUAUGUGGCGAACAAACAGGAAGUAUGCGUUGACGUACUCAAUGGUUCAUUGCAAUUACGUAUCACUUGGACAAAGCCUUAUGCCAACAGGGCACAUCGACAAUUUCCUGAUCCCUUGCUUUUGUCGGAAGUUCUUCGAGGACCGUCAUCCCUCAAUCUCUGGAAGGCACCAUUUCUUCCCGAACAUUGGCGUAUGUUCUUAGUUUGGCUCAGCAUCUAUCAUUUUUUUCUUUUCGCUUGUUUUUUAUGUCAUUAUUUUUGGUGUACAUUACCCUCCCUCUACUUUACCAUUUUGGUCAUGUAUUUGUCUGUUCCCCGCAGGAGUAUAUUCUGAACUACCCAAAAGACGAUAAACUAAGAUCAAUUGCCACUUCGUUUUUGGGGGCAGCAUCAGCAAGUAGGAGUAAACGGCUAGAUUUGUCAAAUACGGUGUGUUCUUCUCUGUCAUUUUUUUCCUUUUUUGUUUGUGUUCUAUUUUUUUUCGUUUUGAUAUUUUUUGUUCUAACUCUAUUUUUGUGUGUGUUUAUUUUUUUGUAUUUUUGAUCAGCUGUUCUUCCCCACAUGCCUCGACAACCAUUGGAUAGUGUUUGUUGUCAAUUUCAAGUGGAAACUUUUUGCUUUCUUGGAUUCUUUUUACGACAAGGACUCAUAUCUUCACAAGUCUACCAGAGAGAAAUUUGUAAGUUGUUCAUCACCUUUUUUUUUGUUUCUGUCCAUCACACUUUAUACAUCACAUCAUUUUUGUCUAAAUGCUUUCCCCCCAUCUAUAUGAUUUUAAUUUUUAUGUUUCUUUUUUUCAUCAUUUUUUUAUUUACAUGCAGAUCAAUAACUUCAUCAAGUUGUGGGAAAUCAUUUUCCAAACAGACCAGCAUAAUUUCAAGAUUUUCAAAAGGAUGUACCCUCACGUGCCAAAGCAGAAUAAUGGGUCAGGGCUCUCUUUUCCCACCUGCUCUGUUUUUAUUAUUGUUUUUAUCCCCCUUUUUCUGAAACAUCACCUCCUUUUUAAGAAAUGAUUGUGGAGUGUUUGCAACAAAGAUAAUGGAGAUAUGGGACCCAACCUUGGAUCUGCGCAAGAUUUUCUCACAUGAAGACAUCCAACACAUAAGAAUUCAGUACAUGAACCAACUUUUCUUUUGGAAGAAAAACACUGCAGACAAGAGCCUUGUCACUGGUUUCAACUUACAGGUUCUUCUUCUCAUUUAUUCAUUUUAACUCUUCGUUUUUUUCUCAUUUUUUAAAUUGUAUUUUUUCGCAUCUUUUUUAUUCUUUUUUUGCAUUUUUUCUAACUGUCUUAUGAUGUGCGUUUUUUUUCCUUUGAUAGGGUAACUUCGUCAGCGAUCCUCCAUGAUAGCGGUGUCGUUCUCUGUUUCUAGGCUUGUUUGGAUGGGCAUCAAGAGAAGAAGAGAGCUCAUUUAAAAAAAUUCUGUAGCAUCAUCUAGAUCAUUUUGUGUAGUGUAGUGGUCAAUGGAACUGUUGAGGAAGUUGUCGUUGGUAGUACGAGCAUCUCAUAUUGUUGUAAAUGGUGGCCACUUCUUUUUUCAUGUAAAGAAAAAUCUUCUCUUCUAUGUCAUACGUAUUCAUUCUGAGACAGACUAUCAUUUACUUUAUCAUUUUGUUUGUUCUCCCGUAAUUUUCACUAUUUCCAGUUUUAUUAAUUGUUCAGAUUGGCGUCAGAUCUUCUUCUCUAUUCUUUCUUUUAGUUUCCCUCGGUCUUAUUUAGUAUGUCUUCAGUUUUUCUUUUUGUAGUUUCUUAUUUUAAUCUUGCAGUCGGUACCUAAAGGAAUAAAUUGUGCUCAGUAAGUCCCUCCCAUUCGCUUAGUCACUCUCUGCUUCUUUUGCUUCGGCACUUCAUUUUUUCCGUGUCAUGUGCAGCAACAAGUGAGUCUUCAUCUAUUUCUGAUUCUCAAUGAUGGUGGAGGUACAUCUUUAUCUAAUUUUUUAGUGUUCUUCAUUGCAGGUUAGUUCAUGGUUAGGUUUCUUGUGGCAUUUUCAGUUUAGUGUCUGAACCCGUAGGUGUCUAAUUUCAUUCUGCAGUGUGUAUCACUUUUUCCAUCGAUGUGAUUUUUUUUUAAAACCUCACUCUAUGCGCCGCUCUUUUUUUGAUAGAUGCCAUGCUCAGUCGCACUACUGCUAUGAAGACUCUAACAAAGAUGUCUAGAAUCAGUCCCUGUUCGCAUCUAUUUCAAAUAACAUGGAAACAUCACACUCAUUUUUUUGUUCAUAUUCUUUGCUUCUUAUAAGGUAUUUCACACAUUUUUUGUAAACAUUCUUUUCUCUCAAUCUUUUUUUCUUACAUGAAGUUUGUACAAUCAGAAAAUGUAAAUAGUCCUGGCUACUCCUUUGUUCUCUAUCCAUGCAGGUUACAAGCAGAUGGAGUUAGAGUUGCAGGGUAGGAGCCACGUCAUUGUUGCAGUUGGGAGACCUCAUCCGUAGGUAUGUUGGUAGCGUAGAUCUCUUUGUUCUUUUCCCUCCUAGCAUUCUGCCGUCCUUGCCCUGUUAUAUGCAUGAAAAGAGUUAUUUUGUUAGUCGAUAACAAUACCAUUUUUUCACAUUUUUUAUAUGAGUGUGUCAAUGGAGUGCUAUAUUUAUUUUCUAGUAGUUUUUUAUAGGGAAUCACCUCCAUCAGCCGUGCUUGGCUGGUUUGUCUUCCUAGAUCUCUUCUUUUUGGGGAUAUCGUAUACUUUAUCCAGAUUAGUGCAUUUCCUUUUUGUGUGACCCGGAUCAUUACAGUGGCUGCACUUGUAGAAUGUCUUGGUUUUUAUGCGUUCUUGUAUGGUCAUCAUUCGUGGGCGCCCUUUUGUGUGUGCCUUAUCAGGAUUCAAUAGCCCAACAGUUGAAUUGCUGCCCCCACUCUGCACCAUAGUUGUCAGUGUGCCUAUUGUCUUGUUGGAUCUGUUGCUCUCCUCUGUUUGUUCUCCUUGCCCAUCCAUCUCUUCUUCUCCUUCUCUAUCCAUAUCAAUUAAGUGUUGUUGAAUCCUGAACAUUUCUGAUACCAGGUAUUCAAACUUCCUUUGACUCUUUGAUGCGUUUGAACCAAGCCCCAUUAGCUUCAUCCCUAGGACAUUGUAUCUCAGUUCGUCAUUAUCUAAUAUGAGUGGAAUCUCCUUGGGUUUAUUCAUUUUCUUGCCUUGUUUCCUCCAUCUGUCUAUUAUGUAUUUGUCUGGUAUCUUAUCCACCUCAAGGUGCACCAUCACUUUCAGAAUAUGAGAACACAAAAUGCCAUCCUUUUCAAACUUGCAACAAAUGCAGGAGUAAUCUUCUUUCUCAGUAUCCACUUGCACCACAUAAAGCCUUGUCUCGUGUUCUUGUUUGUAGUAGUUCUUUGCCUGGUACACCAUGUAUAGUUUCAUUUUUUCCUCUUCUCUAGUUUGCAGUCUUGUUACAUCAUUCAGAAUGAGCUGAAAUUUUCUGAAGAUGCUUAUGUUGUACAGGCUGUGUGCUUGUCUCUCGAUGUAGUACUUAGUGUUGAAUGAUUUCCAGGAAACUUUUUUGUGCUUUGCAUUAUGGUCAAGCUCAUCCUCAUUUGCAUGGAUGUUGUCUAGUAUUCUCUGGUAUUCUCGUAGGAAGCUUGUCAUGCUGAACUGUGCACCAACCCCCUUCUUGAACAAAGCAUUUGUGCCCUCACUCCUAGCUGUUGUUUGGAUGAAUGGGAAAAACUUUGUCUUGAAGUACACUGGCACAAAUUUUUUCCUUGCUUCCCACAUGUCUUGGAAAAUUUUCACCUCACCCACAUUGUAAGUUUCAAUCAUUGUUUGCCAUAGUGUUUCAAACUCUCUCUCUCUCUGUCAAUGAGUUAUUCACUAUGUCGUGAAAGUCCUCAUAUAACCCUUGAUUCAGUUGAAACACUCUGCACCCUUUCUCUUCGGCUUUUUUCAUCACAUGGAACAAGCAUGUUCUGUGUGUUGCUUGUGGAAACACAGCUUUUAUUGCCUUUUCCAUUCCUCUGUCUUGGUCAGUUAUUAUUGUUUUGGGUGCCUUGCCUCCCAUUGCUGCUAAGAACUGCCGGAACAACCACUUGAAUGUGUUAGCAGUCUCAUCGAUAAUAAGGGCACAAGCAAACAAGUACGUCUUCCCGUGUGGAGAAACACCAACGAACGGUGCAAACGGCAAGUUGUACUUGUUUGUUAGGAAUGUUGUGUCAAAGCUGAUGCAGUCCCCAUACUCUUGGUACAUUAUUCUAGAUCUAGCAUCUGUCCAAAACACGCUCCUGACCUUGUUUUUUGCAUAUACUUCCAUUGAGUAGCAAAAUCCAGGGCUCUCAGCUUGUUUGUUCUCGAAGUAUUGCUGCACUUCCAUGACGUCACUGUUUUCCAAUUCUCUGUUUAUUGUUGUACCAUAGUUACUCACUUUCCUUUUGUUGUAUGGUAACUUGUCCAUUCCUCCUCUUAUGUACGCCAAUACUGCCACUAUCUUCCUCGUAGGUAUGUUGCACCUUUUCAUUGUUCUGAUCAAUGCUUUCUCUUCAUCAGACAUGUAAACAUGAGAUCUAAAAAACCUACUGCGAGGGUUGAGCUCAUGGUUAUGAUCAAGAUUGAGGUUAGUUAUGCGCCAUUUUCCAUCUUUCAAAGUAGCAUUUGUGCUUUGCAGUCUGUCUUCGCUAUGACAGUGCUUUUUCCUUGUACAGACAAGUUUUCCAUUUCGGCCUCUAUAUUAUGCCCAUACUUGUUGCAUUUCAGUGUUACCAUUGUAACUUCUCUGUCCCUUUUUUGCUGGUUGUGCGGGCAGUCGACACAACAGAUAUGGAGAAACCAGCUACAAAGGCAUAGAAGUUUAAGAACUUUUGAGCUUCUUCCCUCGUAGCAAAAUGCAUCCCUGUUUCAGGUUUCAGCUCGCUAUCAAUUGUUCUGUCGUUCCCUCCUUCUGCGGCCCGUCUUUCAUUUUCCAAAAUAUCUUCUGUUGUUUCUUCAUUGAUUUUCAUUAUGUUCAUUCUUGUUGUCUUGCACUUGCAGAUGGCAUGCAUCAGUUGAUGUUCCCGCCUCUCGAGACUGUCUAGAGGAACCAGCGUACACACAUGUCGGCGAAUCGAGAUUCCAGGUAUGAUUUUGCUCCCUCUCAGAAGAGCCGUCUCUUCCUUCAUUGUUUGUAUCAACCUGCAUGUGUUGUAGUGACGAGUUAAUCAUUAAAUGUGUGUCAAAUUAUCUCCUUUUUUCUUUUUUCCAUUAGUAUGAUAGUUUCUAUUCUUUUUUGCUUACUGAUACCCUUUUGUGUUUUUUUCUCUAAGUUUCUUCACUAGAAAACAUUUUUGCUCACCUGAUCCAAGCGAAUAUCAUCAAAGAGGGUUUAUCUCCAUGGAUCUCCUUGACAGUCAUUAAACGAUAUAUCGUCCCCUCCCUUGGAUAAUUCAAAAGCUGUUGUUUGUGCACCUAGAUCCUCCAUUUGCACGGGAGAAUUGUCCUGGUCGUCAACAAAGUCACCCAUCAUGCCUAAAUCCUGAAAAAAAGGAACAUUGAAACCUAUCACAUGUCCUUUUUGAUAUUUUUCAUCAUCUGUUUUAAGUUUGUCACUUUUUUCCUGUUUCCGCAUUUUGCUUUUUAGUUUUCUUUUCCCAGCCCUUUUACCUGAAGGCUUGGUGUGCUGUUGGACGUGUAGUCGCCACCCAAGACCUGAGCCGCCUUUGUUUGUUGUGAAUGUAGAAGAGGUUCACCCGCAUCACUUGUUUGACCAAUGUCAGCAGCACCCAAGCACGACUCCGGUCAGUUUGACGAAAGUUGAUCUUUAUUUUUAUUUUUUUCAAUUUUUUCUUUUCAAUUUUGAAUCUGCCCGCACCUGGGUAUUCAUUGUCUGAGAGCCUCCAUUUAGGUCAAUAUAACCCUUCAACAGCACCACAUAAGAGAAGUUUGGCUGUUUCAUGCACAUAAUUACUUUUUGUUAGUUUGCACACAAGUUGUAAGGCAUAAAAAAUACGAAGCAUUUUUUCCUUCCUCCAUCGACCUGCAUGAACAGAGCUUCUUGGCUUCCAAUGCACAUAUCAUGCAUAUCCUCAUUCACGCAGCUGUUCACCUGUAAAAUCCAGUCUCUUUUUCAGAUACAAUAUAGAAACUCAAGAACAAAUAUGUGACGAAGAAGUAGUUAAUUCUAUCAUUACUCUCUUUUUAGUCAUAUGUCACAUUGAGUCAAUUUGUAUUCACGCAGCUGUUCACCUGUAAAAUCCAGUCACUUUUUAGUCAUAAUUAUUUUAGUCUUGUUCUAUGAUCUUCUGUCUUAUUCAGUGUUAUUUCAGUCAUAAUUUGUAUUCUUUUCAGUCUUCUUGGUAUUCUUUCUAUCAGUCCUCUAUUUUCCAUCAGUUUUCUGCUUUGGAUUCAGUAAUCAAGUUCUUUAAGUCAUAUUCAGUGUGUGUUCCUCAGUUUUUUUUUCUUUCUAUCAUNNNNNNNNNNNNNNNNNNNNNNNNNNNNNNNNNNNNNNNNNNNNNNNNNNNNNNNNNNNNNNNNNNNNNNNNNNNNNNNNNNNNNNNNNNNNNNNNNNNNNNNNNNNNNNNNNNNNNNNNNNNNNNNNNNNNNNNNNNNNNNNNNNNNNNNNNNNNNNNNNNNNNNNNNNNNNNNNNNNNNNNNNNNNNNNNNNNNNNNNNNNNNNNNNNNNNNNNNNNNNNNNNNCUUAGUCCUCUUGGUAUUCUUCUCAGUCUUCUUGGUAUUCUUUCUAUCAGUCCUCUAUUUUCCAUCAGUUUUCUGCUUUGGAUUCAGUAAUCAAGUUCUUUAAGUCAUAUUCAGUGUGUGUUCCUCAGUAUUUUUUUUCUUUCUAUCAUUCAUCUGUUUCAGUUCUUAGUUAUCAAUCAUUAGUUAUCUUUAUUCCUUAGUCCUCUUGGUAUUCUUCUCAGUCUUCUUGGUAUUCUUUCUAUCAGUCCUCUAUUUUCCAUCAGUUUUCUGCUUCGGAUUCAGUAAUCAAGUUCUUCAAGUCAUAUUCAGUGUGUGUUCCUUAGUUUGUCAGUCAUUUCUUUUAGUUUGUCAUGUCCUUAGUUUUUUCAGUUUUAGAUUUCUGUAUUUUAGGUUCAGUGUCAUUUUAAGUCUUAUCCAGGUUUCAGUAUUUGUCCUCAGUUUUCUUCCAUAUAUGUCAUCAGGUUUCAGUAUAUAUGUCCUCGGUUUUAUCCCGAGUGUCCAAUUUUUGCCUCUUUGUUCAGUUUGUCCAUGAUUGCACAGUUUGUGUUAGUUUCUUCAGUCUAUGUUAAGUGUUUGUAUAUUCAGUGAUUGAUCGAUUAUCAGUUAUUUAUGCAGGAAGGUGAUCAUGUUUUUAUUGAGUUCUUCUCUGCCAAGUGGAACAACAGGGACACAAGCCUUAUCUAACUCUAGUACAUUUUCUUUAUGUAUAAAUGAUUCACAAGUAAGGUGAUCACAUAAAUGCAGCAUGUAUAUAUAAAUGAAAAUUUCAGGGAAGGGAGGGCAGUGUGUUGUUACCUGAGAUGAUUCCCCUUGGGGUGGCACCAUGUGGUUGUGCUCUGGAUCGUAAGCAGCAUCACCCUCACAUGCUUCCUCCGGCUCAGCCUGCAUGCUUGUUUCAUUUGAUUCAGGUGUGUGUUCUCCACUUGCAGCAACUGAACCCUGCAUUGCAUGUUUUUUCAGUUUUCAUCAGUCUCUAACUUAGGAAGUAGUUUCACAUGUGCCUCUUUUCUAAAGGAUUGGUCAUUUCGAAUGUCACAUUCUCUCAAUUUUUUCUCCUUUUUUCUUUUUGUGGCAUCUACUUACAAACACAAGGUUAAUCUGCCACUAUCACUUUUUUCACUCAUGUUCUUCUUUGCUAGCUAAUUUUUCAUCCCCCUCCCCAUGAACAUGAACUGGAAAUUCACAUUCAGUCACCCCCCUACAUUUUUCUCUAGGUAAAAUAUGAACACAGAGCACCUGUCUUCUCUGAAUUUUCAGUUUUUAUUCACAGAUUGAAAGAUUCUUCAGUAAGGAAAAGUAUGCAACUAGUGGGGUGGGUUGGGGCGAGAGGGGUGUACCUUAGUUUGGGCGAGGGCAGUCCGCGGCGGCUCCAAGUAGCCCCAAUCUGGAUCGCAAGGAGGAUCCAUGUCUUCUUCCCCGUCAGCCGCCAUCGCGCCCCUGCACAGACUUUACUUGAAGAAGAAGAAGAAGGAGGUGAUCGGGAUGGAAGGAGGAGGACAGAAAGGCCAGGACUGGGGGGUGGGGGCGGGUGGAGGUCGGGGCCCAACCCAGCCCGCUAAACGGGUGAGAGAGAGGGGUGGUGGGGUGGGCAGCGUGGGUUCCUUUUGUUAGUCAGCCUUCGCGUUUUCGCAUUAACGGGUCUGCUAGGCGGCCCGUUUCAGGGGCAGGUUCCUUUUACAUAAACUAGAAGGAGCCCAAGAGGCUUGGGCAGAUUUUCGACCUGAAGCAGGAGAGAAAACAUACGUUUUCCUGUUCUAAUGAGUUUCUAGACAGAGUAUAUACUUAGACACGUGUCAAUCAUUGGCUGGAAUAAAAAACGACCUGACACCAAUUUAAAAUCAGUCGACUGUUCAUUAGUCACUCCCAUGGCGUGCGAACGUCGGCAACCUCCUCCUCCUGUCUUUGUUGGGCUGGGCUUCUACCACCUUCUGGACGGGCUCCAAACCGACCACGGCUGGGCUUCCCUUCACGGCCAGCAAAUUCUUACCCUAAAAAAAGAACAAGCCCAAGCCCACCGCUAAAUUAAGGAUGGCGCUACGCAUUAUCCGACUGCGUCCCCACUUCUGAUCAACUCCCACCAUACGCCCCGCUGUGUCCCCUGGUCCGCAAACACUGAUGAUGUUUCUGAAACAUGGGCGACGUUCCAACCGCCGACUUGCAUCAACGGCUUAUAUGCAACAUCGAAAAUGUUCCCGUAGUUGUAGCAAUGUUACAAUCCAGUCCGAGCUCUGCAUCACCGGCGUUGUCCGCACUGGUCACAAGUUCAUGCCGCGGCAGCAUGGCCAGGACGGUCAGAAGCCGACAAACCAUGGGUGAUCGACGACGUCGGGUGAGGGAAGGGGAAGAUGGAAUGAGGGAGGGUCGCGGCGUGAGAAGCGGAGGAUUUGUGUGGAGGGAGUGGAUAAGAAUGAAGGGAUUUUGAGGGUGCCACUCUCAGGAAGCCACGCCACUAGUACGGUUUGUGAGUGAUGUUGGCCAGCACGGGGAUUACCGGUGGUAAUAUUUUUCUAUAGUGUGAGUGGGAGACAUAAAUUUUCAAAUAUGUUAAUCAAGUAUAAACAUUUUGAUUUUUUUAUGGUGUGCUGAUCUGACCUUUAAGGGAUACACUAGUAGAAAACAGCCCAUUAGUCCCGGUUCCAGAGGCCCAUUAGUCUCGGUUCAGCAACAGAGGCAAAAAGAACGGGACUAAAGCCCAAAUAUUUUAGUCCCGGUUGGUCUACGAACCGGGACAAAAGGGGCUCCACGUGGCUGCUGCGCAGCACUCACGUAGGAGGACCUUUAGUCUCGGUUGGUAACACCAACCGGGACCAAAAGGGUUCUUUUUUAAGGGGGUUUAGGGGUUUUGGAGGGUUUAGGGGUUUCAUAUUGUGUUAGCUAGCUACUACAUAUAAAGAGAAGUGACAUCUCUUUCUCCGUGCUUGGUCGACCCUAGCUACUAUGUAGCUAGUUAGCUAGUGAUCUUGGUUGGUUAGUUAGCUAGUGAUACGUCUCCAUCGUAUCUAUAAUUGUUGAUUGUUUCAUGCCAAUAUUAUUCAACUUUUACAUACUUUUGGCAACUUCUUAUAUGAUUUAUUUGGACUAACUUACUUAUCCAGUGCCCAAUGUCGGUUCCUAUUUGUUGCAUGUUUUUAUUUCGCAGAAAUCCAUAUCAAACGAAGUCCAAACGCGAUAAAAAUUUACGGAGAAUUAUUUUGAAAUAUAUGUGAAUUUUAGGAGGUGGAAUGAACGCAAACGGGGGCCCACAGUGCCCACAACCCACCAGGGCCCAGGCCCUGGUGUCGUGUGCCCUCCUCGAACGUCGGUUGGAGCCCUUCUUCUGGCGCAAGAAAGAUAAUUUAUGGAAAAAAAUCGUGUAAAAAUUUCAGCGCAAUCGGAGUUACGGAUCUCCUGGAAUUUAAGAAACCAUGAAGCACUACAAAAAAAUACGCUUCCGUGAUGAUACGUGUUUGUCACAGUAGGUCACGUUUUGGGCUGGGCUUCUACCACCUUCUGGACGGGCUCCAAACCGACCACGGCUGGGCUUCCCUUCAGGGCCAGCAAAUUCUUACCCUAAAAUAAAUAACAAGCCCAAGCCCGCCGCUAAAUUAAGGAUGGCGCUACUUUAUCCGACUGCGUCCCCACUGCUGAUCAACUCCCAUCAUACGUCCUGCUGCGUCCCCUGGUCUGCAAACACUGAUGAUGUUUCUGAAACAUGGGCGACAUUCUAAACCUCCGACUUGCAUCAAUGGCUUGUCUGCAACAUAAAAAAUGUUCUCGUAGUUGUAGCAAUGUUGCAAUCCCGACCGAGCUCUGCAUCACACCGACGUUGUCCACACUGGCCACAAGUUCAUGCCGCGACAGCAUGGCCAGGACGGUCAGAAGCCGACGAACCAUGGGUGAUCGACGACGCCGGGAGAGAGAGGGGGGAGAUGAAAUGGGGGAGGGCGGCGGCGUGAGAAGCAUAGAAUUUGUGUGGAGGGAGUGGAUAAGAACGAGGGGAUUUUAAGGGCGCCACUCUCCCUACUUUGGGCCGGGCCAAAUUUGUGGCGUUGGCUCAGGAAGCCACGCCACUAGUGUCGUUUGCGAGUGACGUUGGCUAGCAUGGCAAAUGCCGGUCGUAACAUUUUUCUAUA
Molecule: long non-coding RNA, 26477 nt
Filed under: Triticum aestivum (bread wheat)
Lineage: Eukaryota; Viridiplantae; Streptophyta; Magnoliopsida; Poales; Poaceae
Description: long non-coding RNA (TAES_LNC009097)
Source: RNAcentral